GAUGAAGAACGUAGCAAAAUGCGAUACUCGGUGUGAAUUGCAGAAUCCCGUGAACCAUCGAGUGUUUGAACGCAAGUUGCGCCCGAAGCCUUUUGGCCGAGGGCACGUCUGCCUGGGCGUCACGCAUCGCGUCGCGCCCCACAACUCUCCGUAAAGGGAACUUGUGUUUUGGGGGCGGAUAUUGGUCUCCCGUGCUCAUGGCGUGGUUGGCCGAAAUAGGAGUCCCUCCGGUGGACGCACGAACUAGUGGUGGUCGUAAAAACCCUCGUCUUUUGUUUCGUGCCGUUAGUCGCGAGGGAAACUCUUUAAAAACCCAAAUGUGUCGUCUCUUGACGGCGCUUCGACCGCGACCCCAGGUCAGGCGGGACUACCCGCUGAGUUUAAGCAUAUCAAUAAGCGGAGGA
Molecule: unclassified non-coding RNA, 404 nt
Filed under: soil metagenome
Description: partial contains 5.8S ribosomal RNA, internal transcribed spacer 2, and large subunit ribosomal RNA
Rfam family: 5.8S ribosomal RNA (bases 1-122)
Source: RNAcentral